RNAcentral lists this ribosomal RNA (81 nucleotides) under Bacteroidales bacterium. RNAcentral's name for it is "partial 16S ribosomal RNA". It matches the Rfam family "Bacterial small subunit ribosomal RNA", at positions 1 to 77 of the family's 1533-position model. The record is from RNAcentral. Lineage: Bacteria; Pseudomonadati; Bacteroidota; Bacteroidia; Bacteroidales.
UAUUACAACGGAGAGUUUGAUCCUGGCUCAGGAUGAACGCUAGCGGCAGGCUUAAUACAUGCAAGUUGAACGAGAUUUACU